Molecule: RNase P RNA, 349 nt
Filed under: Arcanobacterium bovis
Lineage: Bacteria; Bacillati; Actinomycetota; Actinomycetes; Actinomycetales; Actinomycetaceae
Description: Bacterial RNase P class A
Rfam family: Bacterial RNase P class A
About the family: Ribonuclease P (RNase P) is a ubiquitous endoribonuclease, found in archaea, bacteria and eukarya as well as chloroplasts and mitochondria. Its best characterised activity is the generation of mature 5'-ends of tRNAs by cleaving the 5'-leader elements of precursor-tRNAs.
Source: Rfam by way of RNAcentral
UGAGUCAGCUAGGCAGUCGCGAGCGCUCUUGCGUUCGAGGAACGUCCGGGCUCCACAGGGAGCAGUGGUGGGUAACGCCCACUCGGGGUGACCCGCAGGAAAGUGCCACAGAAAAGAAACCGCCAGCAAUGGUAAGGGUGAAAAGGCGAGGUAAGAGCUCACCGCAUGUCUGGUGACAGAUAUGGCAUGGUAAACCCCACUGGGAGCAAGACCAAGCAGUGCGCGUCGAGGCGUCCCGCUGAGUGCACGGGUAGGUUGCUUGAGCUCAACGGUAACGUUGAGUCUAGAUGGAUGGCUGCCGCUGACCACUUGGCCAGCACAGAACCCGGCGUAUCGGCUGACUCAUUCG